ACAAAAGUUUUGGGAAGAUAUGGACAAUUUAAUGCAACGCAUACCGAAUGAAGAGAAUAUUCUUAUCAGAGGAGAUUUGAAUGGACAUGUAAGGAGUGAUAGGUAAGGUUAUGAGAAUAUUCAUGAAAGUUUUAGUUUUGGUAGCCGUAAUAAGGAGGAGAAAAGCAUCCUGGAUUUUGCAAUGGCAUACGACCUAAUACUAG
RNAcentral lists this unclassified non-coding RNA (203 nucleotides) under Hevea brasiliensis (rubber tree). The record is from RNAcentral. Lineage: Eukaryota; Viridiplantae; Streptophyta; Magnoliopsida; Malpighiales; Euphorbiaceae.